UUCAGAUCUUAUGAACACAUCUUCAUCUUCAUCCUCAAGUUUCGUUUGCUCUGCCUUUACGGUCUCCUUUCGUACAGAAAAGUUAGAGCAUAUUACUACACGAAUAUUUAUUAUUAAAGUCGCAACAUCCCUAGAAAGAUCAAUAAAAUACAAAUGUGUAUUGAUAUCAUGGUUUGUUCUACAAAGAACGAUGAAAUGUCUUGUCAUUCUAAAUCAAAUUAAAACUCGACAGCGGACUAUUUUUAUGUGCAUUUAGAACUUUGUUGACAGAUUGCGAUUCGUGCUCGCGUCGUCUGUCAAAGAUGAUUUGCAAAUUUUUCAUUCUAGAAGCAAGGAGAUUGAAAAUUAUUCACAGGAAAAACAGUUUGUUUUGAGGCAAACAAAAUCAACAUUCAAUUAAAUAAAAAAGAGAGUUAAGGAAUUUACGUGCUUUUCCAUGCAUUGUAAGAUUUCCAGAAUAUAGAACAUGUAGUUCCUGAUAAAAAAAAACACCAAAAGAUUGCUAAGAUAAAACUGUUGAGUAACUAUUUGUAAUACAGAAUGCAUCAAGAUGGUGGUAUGCUACAUAUAUAUAAUAUUGAUACUAUGACAGAUGAGAAAAGAAACUGAAGACAUAACCAAAUGCUGAAGUCAGCAAAGAUUAAGAUAUAAAGAGUAGAUAUUUUCCUGAAGAUCUCAUUUAUGUCUCGAAUGUGAAGGGACCAGAAGCUAUCAUGAUGAUUCUUUAAAGAAAAGAUACAGAAACACAAGCUCCUGUAGACACUUAUGAAAAAGAAGAUGUUUUUGCAAUGAAUAUGUGUGAAUGUGAUAAAUUAUGGCAAAUCAACAUGGUCAAUUAACAACAAUAUGUUCUACACAUUUCCUAGAUUUAUAAGUUUCAUAACAUUUAGUUGAGGCAAACUAAAGUUAGAUAACGGAAAACGAAAAAAAAUGGCAAAUAAAUAUUGUUAUUAAAUACUCAGUUUUAGUUAUUUUUA
Molecule: long non-coding RNA, 977 nt
Organism: Mytilus trossulus (common blue mussel)
Lineage: Eukaryota; Metazoa; Mollusca; Bivalvia; Mytilida; Mytilidae
Exons: 3
Source: RefSeq, a predicted model, not a curated record